Molecule: ribosomal RNA, 256 nt
Filed under: uncultured bacterium
Lineage: Bacteria
Description: partial 16S ribosomal RNA
Rfam family: Bacterial small subunit ribosomal RNA
Source: RNAcentral
UACGAAGGGGGCUAGCGUUGCUCGGAAUCACUGGGCGUAAAGGGUGCGUAGGCGGGUCUUUUAAGUCAGGGGUGAAAUCCUGGAGCUCAACUCCAGAACUGCCUUUGAUACUGAAGAUCUUGAGUUCGGGAGAGGUGAGUGGAACUGCGAGUGUAGAGGUGAAAUUCGUAGAUAUUCGCAAGAACACCAGUGGCGAAGGCGGCUCACUGGCCCGAUACUGACGGCUGAGGCACGAAAGCGUGGGGAGCAAACAGGG